This 281-nucleotide ribosomal RNA is filed under the name Tephritidae gen. 1 sp. 1 XC-2019. Its description in RNAcentral is "partial 28S ribosomal RNA". Lineage: Eukaryota; Metazoa; Arthropoda; Insecta; Diptera; Tephritidae. The record is from RNAcentral.
GAAUAUCCAUUAUGAAAAAUUCAUCAUUAUAACAUUAUAAUAUAUUAUUUAUUAUAUGUGAUAGUGUGCAUUUUUUUCAUAUAAGGACAUUGUGAUCUAUUAACAUAAUAAAAUAUUUAUCAAAAGAUCAUUAGCUUAAGUUUAUUUUAAUUAAUUUGCUUUUAGCUUAUUAACAUAAAAUAAAUGCAAAUGAUUUGAUAAAGUGUUGAUAGAUUUAUUAUAUAUAAUGCUUAAAUCUUUUUUUAAAAGAUUUUACAAUAAUAAUAAAAUCUAUUGAUUUU